This 308-nucleotide ribosomal RNA is filed under the name uncultured bacterium. RNAcentral describes it as "bacterial SSU rRNA". It matches the Rfam family "Bacterial small subunit ribosomal RNA", at positions 1061 to 1378 of the family's 1533-position model. The record is from RNAcentral.
CGUGUCGUGAGAUGUCAGGUUAAGUCCUGUAACGAGCGCAACCCUCGUCGUUAGUUAUACGUGUCUAACGAGACUGCCCGUGAUAAGCGGGAGGAAGGUGAGGAUGACGUCAAGUCAGCAUGGCCUUUAUAUCCUGGGCUACACACACGCUACAAUGGCCAGUACAAUGGGCAGCCAAGCCGCGAGGCGGAGCCAAUCCCGUAAAGCUGGUCUCAGUUCGGAUUGCAGGCUGCAACUCGCCUGCAUGAAGUCGGAGUUGCUAGUAACCGCGCGUCAGCCAUAGUGCGGUGAAUACGUUCCCGGGGAUU